RNAcentral lists this ribosomal RNA (497 nucleotides) under uncultured bacterium. RNAcentral describes it as "partial 16S ribosomal RNA". It matches the Rfam family "Bacterial small subunit ribosomal RNA", at positions 28 to 507 of the family's 1533-position model. The record is from RNAcentral.
GAUGAACGCUGGCGGCGUGCCUAAUACAUGCAAGUCGAGCGGACGGACGAGAAGCUUGCUUCUCUGAUGUUAGCGGCGGACGGGUGAGUCACACGUGUAUAACCUACCUAUAAGACUGAGAUAACUUCGGGAAACCGGAGCUAAUACCGGAUAAUAUUUUGAACCGCAUGGUUCAAAAGUGAAAGACGGUCUUGCUGUCCCUUAUAGAUGGAUCCGCGCUGCAUUAGCUAGUUGGUAAGGUAACGGCUUACCAAGGCUACGAUGCAUAGCCGACCUGAGAGGGUGAUAGGCCACACUGGAACUGAGACACGGUCCAGACUCCUACGGGAGGCAGCAGUAGGGAAUCUUCCGCAAUGGGCGAAAGCCUGACGGAGCAACGCCGCGUGAGUGAUGAAGGUCUUCGGAUCGUAAAACUCUGUUAUUAGGGAAGAACAUAUGUGUAAGUAAAUGUGCACAUCUUGACGGUACCUAAUCAGAAAGCCACGGCUAACUACGUG